GGCCAAACAAACUUUACUGUGGGAUGC
Molecule: non-coding RNA, 27 nt
Filed under: Mus musculus (house mouse)
Lineage: Eukaryota; Metazoa; Chordata; Mammalia; Rodentia; Muridae
Source: RNAcentral